Molecule: transfer RNA, 71 nt
Filed under: Candidatus Vidania fulgoroideorum
Lineage: Bacteria; Pseudomonadati; Pseudomonadota; Betaproteobacteria
Description: tRNA-Thr
Rfam family: tRNA
About the family: Transfer RNA (tRNA) molecules are approximately 80 nucleotides in length.
Source: RNAcentral
GCCGGAUUAACUCAGUGGUAGAGUAUCUGUUUUGUAAACAGCGAACGUAGGUUCGAUUCCUACAUCCGGUA